RNAcentral lists this transfer RNA (66 nucleotides) under Geotrygon violacea (violaceous quail-dove). Its description in RNAcentral is "tRNA-Phe". Lineage: Eukaryota; Metazoa; Chordata; Aves; Columbiformes; Columbidae. The record is from RNAcentral.
GUCCUUGUAGCUUACAACAAAGCAUGGCACUGAAGAUGCCAAGACGGCCCUAUAUCACCCAAGGAC